This is a long non-coding RNA of Ailuropoda melanoleuca (giant panda), 418 nucleotides long. RefSeq lists it as uncharacterized. The record is from RefSeq and is a predicted model, not a curated record. The transcript has 3 exons. NCBI's taxonomy places the organism in Eukaryota, Metazoa, Chordata, Mammalia, Carnivora, Ursidae.
AUCUCUGGCCAGAUACUCAUGAACAUCUUUCUCUCCUCUGCAUUCAUCCCUGUUCACAAGGUAUCAUCAUCUCCAUUGAGCACUCCCAAAGGAAAUAAUGGUGCCUACCAGGCAUCACUGUUUUGUAUGCUCAGUAUUUCCAAUUACAUUGGCGGUCUUGGAGGUGUAUUGGGGGAACAUUAAACAACACAGCUUGAAAUAUAAGAAGAAAAAUAUGUGCAGGUCCCUACAAACAAAUUAUCCAGCUAAACUUCAGGAGAACUGGAACAGUACGCCUAUCAAUCCUGAGUCUACAGAACUGGCAGCUGUCAUGCCCAGCAUAAGAAUCAUUGUUCAAGGGGCGCCUGGGUGGCACAGCAGUUAAGCGUCUGCCUAUGGCUCAGGGCGUGAUCUCAGCGUUAUGGGAUCGAGCCCCACA